AAUAUUGCACAAUGGGGGAAACCCUGAUGCAGCGACGCCGCGUGAGUGAAGAAGUAUUUCGGUAUGUAAAGCUCUAUCAGCAGGGAAGAAAAUGACGGUACCUGAGGAGGAAGCCCCGGCUAACUACGUGCCAGCAGCCGCGGUAAUACGUAGGGGGCAAGCGUUGUCCGGAAUUAUUGGGCGUAAAGGGUGCGUAGGCGGCCUUUUAAGUCAGAUGUGAAAGACCACAGCUUAACUGUGGGAUUGCAUUUGAAACUGAAGGGCUUGAGUGUCGGAGAGGGUAGUGGAAUUCCCGGAGUAGCGGUGAAAUGCGUAGAUAUCGGGAGGAACACCAGUGGCGAAGGCGACUACCUGGACGACAACUGACGCUGAGGCACGAAAGCUAGGGGAGCAAAC
RNAcentral lists this ribosomal RNA (396 nucleotides) under uncultured bacterium. Its description in RNAcentral is "partial 16S ribosomal RNA". It matches the Rfam family "Bacterial small subunit ribosomal RNA", at positions 360 to 773 of the family's 1533-position model. The record is from RNAcentral.